GACGAACGCUGGCGGCGUGCUUAACACAUGCAAGUCGAACGGAAAGGCCCUGCUUUUGUGGGGUGCUCGAGUGGCGAACGGGUGAGUAACACGUGAGUAACCUGCCCUUGACUUUGGGAUAACUUCAGGAAACUGGGGCUAAUACCGGAUAGGAGCUCCUGCUGCAUGGUGGGGGUUGGAAAGUUUCGGCGGUUGGGGAUGGACUCGCGGCUUAUCAGCUUGUUGGUGGGGUAGUGGCUUACCAAGGCUUUGACGGGUAGCCGGCCUGAGAGGGUGACCGGCCACAUUGGGACUGAGAUACGGCCCAGACUCCUACGGGAGGCAGAGGUGGGGAAUAUUGCACAAUGGGCGGAAGCCUGAUGCAGCAACGCCGCGUGCGGGAUGACGGCCUUCGGGUUGUAAACCGCUUUCGCCUGUGACGAAGCGUGAGUGACGGUAAUGGGUAAAGAAGCACCGGCUAACUACGUG
This 468-nucleotide ribosomal RNA is filed under the name uncultured bacterium. RNAcentral describes it as "partial 16S ribosomal RNA". It matches the Rfam family "Bacterial small subunit ribosomal RNA", at positions 28 to 507 of the family's 1533-position model. The record is from RNAcentral.